AAGGGCACCACAAGAACGCGUGGAGCAAGUGGCUUAAUUUGACUCAACGCGGGAAAUCUUACCGGGUCCGGACACACUGAGGAUUGACAGGUUUUAUCAAAGUUUUAAAAUUUUUUUUUUUAUUUCUUUGUGCCAAAUAUGCUAGCCCUUUCAUGAUUAUGUGAUAGGUGGUGCAUGGCCGUUCUUAGUUCGUGGAGUGAUCUGUCUGCUUAAUUGCGUUUCAUUACAUAUUCAUAUACCAAAACGCACUUUGUGUUUGGUUUUUUCUUUUUUUAUUUUUAUAAAACUAAGAUAACCAAUUUAAAGCACAUCGUGUUAAACGUGAAUAUAGAAAGCAACGAACGUGACCG
RNAcentral lists this ribosomal RNA (350 nucleotides) under Foraminifera environmental sample. Its description in RNAcentral is "partial small subunit ribosomal RNA". It matches the Rfam family "Eukaryotic small subunit ribosomal RNA", at positions 1160 to 1452 of the family's 1831-position model. The record is from RNAcentral. Lineage: Eukaryota; Foraminifera.